UUGGAGGGCAAGUCUGGUGCCAGCAGCCGCGGUAAUUCCAGCUCCAAUAGCGUAUAUUAAAGUUGUUGCAGUUAAAAAGCUCGUAGUUGAAUUUCGGGACCAAUUUGUUGGUCGUGCCUCGGUACGUACUGGUAUUAUUGGUUUCUCCCUUCUGAAGAACCUUGAUGUCAUUAAUUUGGUGUCUUGGGAAAUCAGGACUGUUACUUUGAAAAAAUUAGAGUGUUUAAAGCAGGC
Molecule: ribosomal RNA, 234 nt
Filed under: uncultured Glomus
Lineage: Eukaryota; Fungi; Glomeromycota; Glomeromycetes; Glomerales; Glomeraceae
Description: partial 18S ribosomal RNA
Rfam family: Eukaryotic small subunit ribosomal RNA
Source: RNAcentral